Molecule: ribosomal RNA, 218 nt
Filed under: uncultured bacterium
Lineage: Bacteria
Description: partial 16S ribosomal RNA
Rfam family: Bacterial small subunit ribosomal RNA
Source: RNAcentral
CGUGGAUAACCUGCCUCACACUGGGGGAUAACAGUUAGAAAUGACUGCUAAUACCGCAUAAGCGCACAGUGCCGCAUGGCAGUGUGUGAAAGACUCCGGUGGUGUGAGAUGGAUCCGCGUCUGAUUAGCCAGUUGGCGGGGUAACGGCCCACCAAAGCGACGAUCAGUAGCCGACCUGAGAGGGUGACCGGCCACAUUGGGACUGAGACACGGCCCAA